This 775-nucleotide ribosomal RNA is filed under the name uncultured Neocallimastigales. RNAcentral's name for it is "partial large subunit ribosomal RNA". It matches the Rfam family "Eukaryotic large subunit ribosomal RNA", at positions 23 to 646 of the family's 3401-position model. The record is from RNAcentral. Lineage: Eukaryota; Fungi; Neocallimastigomycota; Neocallimastigomycetes; Neocallimastigales.
AAGAGAGAGACAUGCGCGCAUAUCAAUAAGCGGAGGAAAAGAAACUAACAAGGAUUCCCCUAGUAACGGCGAGUGAAGCGGGAAGAGCUCAAAUUUGAAAUCUUAAAGGGUUUCCCUUUACGAAUUGUAGUUUAAAGAAGUGUUUUCUGUUGAGGUUUUGGUAAAAGUUCUUUGGAAUAGGACAUCAUAGAGGGUGAGAAUCCCGUAUUUGACCUUUACUUUCAACUUUGUGAUACACUUUCAAAGAGUCGGAUUGUUUGGGAAUGCAGUCCAAAAUGGGUGGUAAAUUUCAUCUAAAGCUAAAUAUUGGCGAGAGACCGAUAGCGAACAAGUACCGUGAGGGAAAGAUGAAAAGAACUUUGAAAAGAGAGUUAAACAGUACGUGAAAUUGUCAAAAGGGAAGCGUUUGACACCAGUGUUGUUUUUCUGAAAAUCAAUUAAAGAACUGUUUAUGCUAAGUUGUUUAGACUUUAUCAGCUAACUGUUUAGUUUUGAGCUUUUCUUUAAUGCACUUUUCAGUUAACAAGUCAACAUCAAUUUCUUUUGCUGUAAAAAAGCUUGAGGAAGGUGGCUUGAGAUUCGUCUUAAGUGUUUAUAGCCUCUUGCCUAUGCAGUCGGAGAGAUUGAGGUCUGCAGCGUAGAUCCUUCGGGGCUAAAUGCAUUUGUGCUAAGUUAUAGCAUUUUAUAGACAACUUGUUGACUAUGAUUUGUCUUGUAGCUUACUCGCUUAUGUUAUUUUACCUACGCUUAGGAUGUUGACGCAUGAGAUAUACGC